AAGCCUCACCAGGAUUUUAUACUCAGUUUAAGUCCCUGGAAGAACUACUGAAAACCCAGCCUUUUACCCCAGCACACUGCUGCCCUGUAGAAACCUGCAUUUUAUUACCCAGGACAAAGGGAAGAACGCUUCUGUCGUAGCUUGUAAACUCUGUAUCUCCUGAACCGUUGGGAGCUGUGGUUCUCAGCCUUUCUAAUGCUGCACCCCUUCAAUACAGUUUCUCACGUUGUGGUGACGCCAACCAUGAAUUAAUUUCUGCUGCUACUUUGUAACUGUAAUUUUGCUACUAUUAUGAGUCAUAAUAUAAAUCUGAGAUGCAUGAGAUCUGCUAUGUGACCCUGUGAAAGGGUU
Molecule: long non-coding RNA, 351 nt
Filed under: Mus pahari (shrew mouse)
Lineage: Eukaryota; Metazoa; Chordata; Mammalia; Rodentia; Muridae
Description: predicted gene 15535 (MGP_PahariEiJ_G0032978.1)
Source: RNAcentral